CGGAUAGCUCAGUCGGUAGAGCAUCA
RNAcentral lists this non-coding RNA (26 nucleotides) under Xenopus tropicalis (tropical clawed frog). The record is from RNAcentral. RNAcentral also lists the same sequence under 6 other names. Lineage: Eukaryota; Metazoa; Chordata; Amphibia; Anura; Pipidae.